Dujonia railenensis is the source of this 71-nucleotide non-coding RNA. The record is from the annotation of a GenBank genome assembly. NCBI's taxonomy places the organism in Eukaryota, Fungi, Ascomycota, Pichiomycetes, Serinales, Debaryomycetaceae.
GACCAUAUGAUCUAAUGGUAUGAUACUACUUCUUCAUAGUGGGUAUGUGAGUUCAAUUCUCACUAUGGUUA